ACGAACGCUGGCGGCGUGCAUAACACAUGCAAGUCGAGCGGGCGUAGCAAUACGUCAGCGGCAGACGGGUGAGUAACGCGUGGGAACAUACCUUUUGGUUCGGAACAACACAGGGAAACUUGUGCUAAUACCGGAUAAGCCCUUACGGGGAAAGAUUUAUCGCCGAAAGAUUGGCCCGCGUCUGAUUAGCUAGUUGGUGAGGUAAUGGCUCACCAAGGCGACGAUCAGUAGCNGGUCUGAGAGGAUGAUCAGCCACAUUGGGACUGAGACACGGCCCAGACUCCUACGGGAGGCAGCAGUGGGGAAUAUUGCGCAAUGGGCGGAAGCCUGACGCAGCGACGCCGCGUGGGGGAUGACGGCC
Molecule: ribosomal RNA, 361 nt
Filed under: uncultured bacterium
Lineage: Bacteria
Description: bacterial SSU rRNA
Rfam family: Bacterial small subunit ribosomal RNA
Source: RNAcentral